Rattus norvegicus (Norway rat) is the source of this 4190-nucleotide non-coding RNA. Lineage: Eukaryota; Metazoa; Chordata; Mammalia; Rodentia; Muridae. The record is from RefSeq and is a predicted model, not a curated record.
AGCAUGCACAAAAACCUGGGUUGGCACAUGCCUGUGACCCUGGGACUUGGGGGUAAACCAGAAAAGUCAGAAGUUCAAGAUUACCCUCAUCCUUGACUGUGUAAAAAAAACCUAGAGGCCAGAAUGGGAUAUACCCAAGUGUGGUGUUACAAUUUCAUAGGUGUAACUGAUUCCGAUGAUAAUGAAAGAGAUGCCCGGUAAGGUAUUAUUUAAUAUAUUUGACCUAAAUUAUAAAGUGCCCUGAGCUCCUAAUUCCUCAAGCAAUGAUAAAUCGGUAACCAUUGGUCUGAAAUUGUAUGUGGUUGGAGUCUCAAAGGCACAGAGAAGAACACGGUCCUGAGGAACUCUGAGCGCCAUCAAAGGACGUGUAUGAGUGACCUGUGUCAUGUUUCAGUGGUCAUUAUAGUAGGGCCUCUUCCAGCGUUCUCAUUGUGGCAAAAGUUAAAAUCGAUUUUAGUAUGAGAGUCUAGUAUCUCUAAUCACUGGGUAUAGUUACUUUGUUUAUAGCGUCAGAUUCCCUGAGAAAGUCUUGAACAUUAAUUAACUUUUUGUUUGCUUUAGAAUUUUAAUAAAUGUUAAGAGCUCGACAGGUAGCAGGUGCCAAUCACGUGGGUGGUGGCGGCAGGGAGACCAGAAAUUCAAGACCAGCUUUGGUCUUGAAUACAAGUAGUUUUGAGGGAAGGCUGGGGUGUAUAAAGACCUGCCUUUAAGGACAAAUUAAAAGGAGGGCUCUGUAACACUGCACUUGGUGUGUCACUGAAGUAAAGGCUGUUUGGGGUAAGGAGUUUGAAAUUCUUCCAUGCAUUUAAAAGGGAGCAUCGGAUCAGUGUGUCUGGUAGCUUGGAAGCUUACCAUAUGUCGCUGAAGACGUUUAAUGGAUUAUAUUUAAGAAGAAAGCAAUUGCCUAUCACACAGUUAAAUAAAUCUCCAUUGCGGAUCAAUGUUGCUGCGCUGAGUUCCACAUUGAUUGAACUUAGUCGUUCUCAGAAACAAAAACCUAGAUUAUGAGAAAGCUUUCAUCCCCACAGUCCCCAGGUUUUAUGCUGGGGUUGGCUGUGACUUUGUCUGCCAACACAAAUAUUCACGUCAAACAUGUGGGAACUAGAACUUCUUUAUGUUUUAAUGUGGUAUUUUAAUGAAAUGCUAGAAUUGCCAUGAACAGUUUCGAAUUUAAAUACAGGUGAAUGAAAGGAAGGAGACUUGGUCUUGGAGUCAAGGGCACUAAGCAAGGGCUGCUUUGGAAGUCAUAUGCUUAGCAAGGGUUCUCAAGCCACUGAGCUGGCCCUGGAUACCGACAGGUCACAGACUGAGUUGUGGAUGUCUUAGAGCCCGGUGGGUUUACCUGAGUAGCCUCUGCAGGACUGUGUCAAGACCAAGUUCCCGUACCAUUCAUUUUCUCUGAGCUCCUAUGUGCUGAUUACUCCCUUCUUAAGUGCGGAGAUACGGCCCUGUGAGCUGACGCAGCUGAGGAUGCAAAUGAGAUACUUUGUGCAGUCAUGCCACGUGAGCGGGUUACUGUGGUCUGAUGGCCUUCGCAUGCUGGCCUAGUGGUGCAGGCCUAUGACUGCACUCAGGAGGUUGAGGCAGGAGGACCUUAAGUUCAAGGACAGCCUUGAUGACUUAAUACGACCUGUUGCAAAAUAAUAAAAAGGAGGGAGGGAGCAAGGGAGCGAGGGAGCGAGGGAGCGAGGGAGCGAGGGAGCGAGGGAGCGAGGGAGAGGGAGAGGGAGAGGGAGAGAGAGAGAGAGAGAGAGAGAGAGAGAGAGAGAGAGAGAGAGAGAGAGAGAGAAGAGCUAGGGAUACGGUUCUAGAGUACUUGCUUAGCAUGUAUGAAGAUUGUCUUGUCUCCAAUCCUGGAGGGAGAGUAAGAAAAUGAGGAAGAGGAAGAAGAAGAGGAAGAGGAGAAAGAGGAGGAGGAGGGGGAAGAAGAGGAAGAGAAGGAGGUAAAGAUCUUCACGAAAUCUUGGUAAUGUAUGUUUGACAAUCUGUUGUCUUAUAAUUUUCUCAGAUAUUUUAUUCUGAAUCCUUUCUGAUUUCCUUACUGCUUACAGUGGUCAGCACCACACAGGCAUACACACACACACACACACACACACACACACACACACACACACACAGAGAGAGAGAGAGAGAGAGAGAGAGAGAGAGAGAGAGAAUUUUUUAGAUCAAAACUCAGGGAAGCAUUACUUUCUGUCUCUCAUUAAUGAUUUUAAUGUUUUGAUUUAAACACAUGUCCAUGUCCAGGGAUUGGGGACAUAAGUUCAGUGGCUUAACCCUGGAUGUGAUUUCCUAGUACUGCAGAAAAAUAAAACAAAAAAAGAAAAAGGAAAAGAAACCCAUAUGCAUAGCAUAUCUACCUUUUUAUUACAGAAUUAUAGAAUUACUUAUAAUUAUAUAAAUUCUUGAAAAGAGGAAAUAAUAAAUGCUCGCAAUCCCAUGAGUACAAUGACAGGACUGUACACUGGUUAUCUUGUAUAGACAUAAGGGUUUCUGAGGUAGCUUGGGGAAGAAGGACCCUGGUCUUGGAGUUGUUAGCGCCUCUCUAGGCAGUCCUGCAAAGGAGGUUCUUCUAUGUACACUUAUACACAGGCAUAUACAUCUCCCACCGUGGCUGCAUAUCUUAAGCUACAAUCUUGGACAAAUAUGAAUUUUCUUUGUGUGUGUGUGUGUGUCUUUUAUACCUGAAUCUUGAGGAUCCAGGGCUUUGAGAGCUUAGCAUGGUGCUCAGCGCAUCCUUAGUGUUGACAAGUAAGUGCCACUCAUGCUCCCACGCCAUUGUGACAGAAUAGUUGGUGUUCUUUUCCCAGAGUUCAUGUCAUUUCUUUAUGGCUGUCUAGAAGUGAUUUCUCAGUGCUCCUCCAGCUCAUGAUACGGGGUGCCCGAUGCCUUGCCAGCUGUCCCUCUGCAGAGCCCUUAGGACUACGUCAGAAUCUCACGCUCCUUCUCAGCACAGCUUCCCCUUAUGGUCUAGGGAUCUAACUUACUCAGUGGCUACAAGGUAUGACCUCAUUCAUUGUCAACUUCUGGUGUUGAAUUUCCAUUUUUACUUGUGGAUUCCGCUUGCCAGCACCUUGUAUUUAUUUCUCUCUUAGGUCUAACACCCAACUAACAUUUCCCAGUUGCAUUACCUAGUUUCUCUAGUGAAGAUACUGUUUUACGGUUUAUCACACAGGCAAUAGACACUUCUGUGGAUUGCCCUCUUAUUUUGAAGUUCUUAAAACACAAUGUGCACCGUCUUCUCAUCCUCUUUGUUAGAUCAGGCAGUUGUGCCUCGAAAGUUCUUGUGGCGGGUCUCCCAAUCCUGUGAACUCAUCUGUCUUUUUAUGGAAUCUGUUCACCACACAGAGUUAGGUAUAAAACACAGAGACCCUUCAUGGACCACAAGAACAUGUUCCUUCAUUUAAACAAAUGAAAUAGUUAAGAAUGGAGCUAACAGACUGCUUUUAAUCACAGGUUAUGUCACCUUUCUCUUCAUGGUUGGCUUCUUCUAGACAGUCUCUGUCCUUCCUUGCAGGAUGGAUGGUCCUAGGGAACUAGUGAUUUGUCAGGAGUAUGGUCUACUCAUCCCAAGGUUUCAGCCAAGUUAUUAGGAGAGCCCCUCCUCUCACUUCCUGUUCCCUUUACUAAGCUUUUGUUUCCAAGGAGACACUAGGUCUUGGUAAGAUUUAGGGAUUAAGGACAUGGGGGCUUCAUGUGGAUGACUAUGCUGGAAAAUCUACCCUCUCUUCCCAAAUUUCCUUCCUGACAGAGGCAUUUCCAUAUUGCAUGCGAAGUAAGUAGCCUUGCCUGGGCAUGGCAAAGUGGUCUGUGUGAUGGACGAUGGACGAGAGAACCCUGCAACUGAGGAAGCAAGGAGGCCACCCUGCCUGGUUCUUAGCAUGGAAAUCACACUUGAUUUUCUUCCUGGAGGAAGUGUCUUGAGAAAAUAAAAAAAGGGCCCCACCCCUGGGCAGAAGCGAAGGGGGUAAAAGCGAGCUCUGGAUCUUUCAGAUGCAUGGCCGUGAACCUACACGGGCCACCUGUAAGAGGACACACACUCUGAUGACCAAGAGGAAGAGCAGGAGUGUGGCGUCGUUGAGGCAAUGGUGAUGGCACACAAAGACAUUGUGUUGGCUUCUGAGUCUAGAUCUAUAAAUAUAUUUAUUAUAAUAUAACAACUUAACAAUAAACAUAUACUAUGUACAAUACCA